GCCCGACUAGCUCAGUUGGUAGAGCAAGACUCUUACUCUCAGGGUCGUAGGUUCGAGCCCCACGUUGGGCC
RNAcentral lists this transfer RNA (71 nucleotides) under Xiphophorus maculatus (southern platyfish). It matches the Rfam family "tRNA". From Rfam's summary of the family: Transfer RNA (tRNA) molecules are approximately 80 nucleotides in length. Their secondary structure includes four short double-helical elements and three loops (D, anti-codon, and T loops). The record is from Rfam by way of RNAcentral. Lineage: Eukaryota; Metazoa; Chordata; Actinopteri; Cyprinodontiformes; Poeciliidae.